GUUCCACACGUACCCAUCCCGAACACGACCGUUAAGCCCUCCAGCGCCGAUGGUACUUGGACCGCAGGGUCCUGGGAGAGUAGGACGCCGCCAAGC
Molecule: ribosomal RNA, 96 nt
Filed under: Paenibacillus peoriae
Lineage: Bacteria; Bacillati; Bacillota; Bacilli; Caryophanales; Paenibacillaceae
Source: RNAcentral